AAUAUGCUGUCAAAUCCAAAAAUUAAUAUUUACACUGUAUCGGGGGUGGGUUGGGGUCAACUGUUCAGGUUAAGAUUACAGGUAAGUGUUAGAUUUCCUACCUGUGGCAUUGGUGUGUUUCUCAUAUGCAUAUACAUGUAUAAGGAAGCUGAUGAGAUCUUAAAACAUACUGUGUUGGUGUCCUUUGGCAAGACACUUUACCCAAUUACACUUCAUUGCCUGCAUCAAGCCUCCAUUAUAUUGUUUACUGAAGAAGCCACCAACUACUACAAGGAGAAUUUCUAAAGAUUACCCUGGCUGUUCAUAAGGUGAUAAACCCCAUCAAGCAUAAGAAUUUAUAAAUCAGAUAUUGACAGAUCUGUAGAUACAUGUUAUGUAGCUUAGUUGGUAAAGGCUGAAGAAUUACACUGAUACAACCAAGUAAAGAUCCCAGAUGAUUUGAUCAUAAAUGAUGUGUUUAUCAGUAACCCGAGAUAUUGCCUGUCAGGGUAAUGUGAUUGGGCAAAUGUAAAACUAUCCUCUUUCUGCUGUUUACUAGUUUAGUAGGGUAGCCAGUAGCUAUAUAUUGGAAAUCAAUGGCUGUUUCACAUGGUGAUAAACCCAACAUGUCUUGUAUUUAACAUAAUGAAUAUGUAACAGUGUCAUUAUUUAAUGACAUUUGGGUAUUAUUUAGAUUUAUCCAUUUUUGUACUACUGUGCAUGUACAGGCUCCGUAUUUAUCAUAUGUAUAUGUGUACGCAGUUGUAUCGUAUGCUAUUUAUAUAUAUAUGUAAACCUGUUUAACAGGUCAGAGGUCAGAGUUAUUUUUAUAGUAGAGUGACCAUGGGUCAAUGCGCACCCGCGCUUUUUAGGGUAGCGUCACUCCCGUACUAGGCACCGUUGUGAGUGGACGUGUAUAUGUCGCGUCUAUAUAUUUAGCGCAUCCGUGUUGUACCAAUCUACAUCACUCAUUUAUAUGCGCUGUAAUAUUGUACGGGUUGUCUCCCCGGGAGUCGAGCCCUCUUCGUCAAAUGAAGAGGUAGGUUUUUUAUAUGGCUCCAUUUAUAUUGUGUUGGUAGCAUCAUUUUUAAGAAUAUCCAUGUACAUGAGAAAUUGUCAUUGUUUGUAUAAGCGUUACGCACUUGCUACUUUGUCAGAUCUGUAAUGUGCAUAGUUCAGUAGUAGUUGUAACGUUUAUGAUUACGCCUGGGUUAGUAGGUGUUCUUGAAUCUUAGGUUCUAAGCGUUAUGCUUCCGGUUGCGUCAGGUGCGUACACCUGUCGUGUUAUUGUGGGAUGGAUUAUUCCACUUUGAGAUUGUAACUAUUUUACUUAUUGUUGUUAUUUGUUAUUUUAGGGUGUUUUAUGGACUAAUAAAUUAUGAAUUGGAA
Long non-coding RNA from Pecten maximus, 1368 nucleotides. RefSeq lists it as uncharacterized. The record is from RefSeq and is a predicted model, not a curated record. The transcript is spliced from 2 exons. NCBI's taxonomy places the organism in Eukaryota, Metazoa, Mollusca, Bivalvia, Pectinida, Pectinidae.